GUACACGCUGUGACUAGCAUAUCAAUAAGCGGAGGAAAAGAAACUAACAAGGACUCCCCUAGUAACGGCGAGUGAAGCGGGAAGAGCUCAAAUUUGAAAUCUUAAAGGGUUUCCCUUUACGAAUUGUAGUUUAAAGAAGUGUUUUCUGUUGAGGUUUUGGUAAAAGUUCUUUGGAAUAGGACAUCAUAGAGGGUGAGAAUCCCGUAUUCGACCUUUACUUUCAACUUUGUGAUACACUUUCAAAGAGUCGGAUUGUUUGGGAAUGCAGUCCAAAAUGGGUGGUAAAUUUCAUCUAAAGCUAAAUAUUGGCGAGAGACCGAUAGCGAACAAGUACCGUGAGGGAAAGAUGAAAAGAACUUUGAAAAGAGAGUUAAACAGUACGUGAAAUUGUCAAAAGGGAAGCGUUUGACACCAGUGUUGUUUUUCUGAAAAUCAAUUAAAGAACUGUUUAUGCUAAGCUGUUUAGACUUUAUCAGCUAUCUGUUUAGUUUUGAGCUUUUCUUUAAUGCACUUUUCAGUUAACAAGUCAACAUCAAUUUCUUUUGCUGUAAAAAAGCUUGAGGAAGGUGGCUUGAGAUUCGUCUUAAGUGUUUAUAGCCUCUUGCCUAUGCAGUCGGAGAGAUUGAGGUCUGCAGCGUAGAUCCUUCGGGGCUAAAUGCAUUUGUGCUAAGUUAUAGCAUUUUAUAGACAACUUGUUGACUAUGAUUUGUCUUGUAGCUUACUCGCUUAUGUUAUUUUACCUACGCUUAGGAUGUUGAAGAUGUAGCACAUCAU
Molecule: ribosomal RNA, 774 nt
Filed under: uncultured Neocallimastigales
Lineage: Eukaryota; Fungi; Neocallimastigomycota; Neocallimastigomycetes; Neocallimastigales
Description: partial large subunit ribosomal RNA
Rfam family: Eukaryotic large subunit ribosomal RNA
Source: RNAcentral